Molecule: long non-coding RNA, 133 nt
Organism: Haliotis rubra (blacklip abalone)
Lineage: Eukaryota; Metazoa; Mollusca; Gastropoda; Lepetellida; Haliotidae
Exons: 3
Source: RefSeq, a predicted model, not a curated record
AUCUUUUAAAAUUGCUAGUUAUCUCGUGGUACAGUGGCACAACAAAAUCACUUGUCCUGAUAAUUCUUCCAAUUAAACUUCGGUCGAUUUUCUUGUUGAUUUUUAAAAUAAACAACAUAAUUAACAUUGAAAG